Molecule: small nuclear RNA, 342 nt
Filed under: Erinaceus europaeus (western European hedgehog)
Lineage: Eukaryota; Metazoa; Chordata; Mammalia; Eulipotyphla; Erinaceidae
Description: 7SK RNA (ENSEEUG00000020385.1)
Rfam family: 7SK RNA (bases 1-193)
About the family: 7SK was discovered as an abundant small nuclear RNA in the mid-70s but a possible function has only recently been suggested. Two independent studies have found that 7SK RNA binds the CDK9/cyclin T complex (known as elongation factor P-TEFb). P-TEFb activates transcription by phosphorylating the C-terminal domain of RNA polymerase II.
Source: RNAcentral
GGAUGUGAGGGUGAUCUGGCUACGACAUCUGUCACCCCAUUGUCACCCAGGGUUGAUUCGGCUGAUCUGGCUGGCUAGGCGGGUGUCCCCUUCCUCCCUCACCGCUCCAUGUGCGUCCCUCCCAAAGCUGCGCACUCGGUCGAAGAGGACGGCCUUCCCCGAAUAGAAGUGUGGGGUUGCAGGCACUUUGGUGAGGUUGUCUGCCCAGGGAAGUCAGGUUGGCAUCAUGGUAGCAUCUGCAACUUUCUGGCAGAGUAAUGAGGCUGAAGGGUUGACAUUCCACACCUGGCGUCUCUGGACACCAUCCCAAGUGAAACGUGUCGAGGUGGUACUGGUUGCAUU